RNAcentral lists this non-coding RNA (82 nucleotides) under uncultured Symbiodinium. Lineage: Eukaryota; Dinophyceae; Suessiales; Symbiodiniaceae. The record is from RNAcentral.
AACGUCAAAGUUCCAAUGUCACUGCCAAAAUGAAUCUGCUACCAAUCCAGCCAUCAUACGAGCAGCCACAAGCGCGUCCUGC